Long non-coding RNA from Apodemus sylvaticus (European woodmouse), 7416 nucleotides. RefSeq lists it as uncharacterized. The transcript has 3 exons. The record is from RefSeq and is a predicted model, not a curated record. NCBI's taxonomy places the organism in Eukaryota, Metazoa, Chordata, Mammalia, Rodentia, Muridae.
GAGGAUGGGGAAAGUCUCAUUUUCUGAGGGUUAGUUUUUAUACUGCUGCAGCUAUGAGACAUGACUUCUGAAGAUUCGGCCUAUGCCACUUCACACAAAUGGCAGAUGUAGAAUGGUUCUAACAAUGCUUCUAGAAGGAACGUUCUGGUACUACUGUAAGAUAUAAACAGAAGCCGAGAUACCUUAGCAUGUGUAGGAAAGUCAGCAUCAUGCCUGUCUUUCCUCCCUUGCCCCUUCCCCCCCCCCCAAGCACAGAUCUGUAGGUUUAAUGCAGUCCUUCUCCAUAUUAAAUAUUCUCAUGGAAACCAUCAUUUUCAGUAUUUUUGAGACUGUUUCCUCCUCCCUCCCUGGUGAUUCCUUAUCAAAUAUUUUCCAUUUUGUUUAUAUUUUGGGGGUUUUGGGGGGGUGUUUUGUUUUUUUGUUUUUUAGGAUAGGGUCUCUGUUAUAUAGUUCUGGCUUCCCUGUAUACCAGGCUGGCUUCAAACACAAUGAGAUCACUCCCAAGGGCUGGAAAUAUAUGAGCCACCACCCCACAGUCAAAUUCUUCACUGUGAUUCUCCCCAGCCCUUAGAAUUUACUGACCAGAAAGCUGAGAUUCUUCAACUUUCUAUGUGCCCUGUCCAUUCAACUGAUGGUUGUCACAUAUUCUGGAGUCCAGCGUUCUAGACUCAAACUACUCCUUUAAUGACUAGAAAUCGCUGAGCCUUCUGAAAUGGGCCUAGAUCCACCCCGCCCCCGCCCCGCGAGCAUGAGUUUGCGGUUCUCUAUUAGCAAAUCUGGAAAAUGACAACCCCAGACUGAUGCAGCCUCCUAAUUGCCUGCUUUGUUCUGGGGCAUGGAAAGCCUGGUAAUUAACUACAAGACCCUGACGGUCCCAGAAGCUUCUUGCACUGCUCAAGGAAUGAAGACUCCCCACGACCGCACCACACUCUCCUCCCCACCAGCUGCAUCAGAUAGAUCCCUUCGGGAUGCCUGGUUCUCAGCUCAGAAAACUUCGCUCUAAGGAUCCACUGAGCUGCUUGCCUGCCCGCUCUCUGGCUCGGCUGACCCAGGUUUCCUUCCUAACUAGCUCCGACAAUGCUGCAACCUGCGGGGAGGCCUAUGCUGGACACCGAGGAGACAGGGGUCGCAGUCUCCUCCUGCUUGCUCUUUGGCGUUUACCAGCUUCAGGUUAGGCGGGACUUUGAAUCUUCUCCCUGGGAGCGACGGCAGCAGCUGAGAGCCCCAAAGGGGGCCACCAGGGGUCGCCACGUGGGUCCUCGACCCCGCUGAUCAGACAGACGGGCAGGGCUGGGUAGUUCUGCAGCUGCGCAUUCGCGGAGGCUGCCCCCCUCUCGUGCUGCGGCGCUCGCUCAGAUGCAAAGUAAACCGCCAAUGUCGUGCGCUGAGUCUGCCUUCGAAUGGGGCCCUUCCCUAUACCAGAGGGAAUCGGACACGCACCACCGUUUUCCACACGCUUUCUGCUGUCGCAGACCCAGUAGAGAUCAUUUCGUUCUUGUCUGCUAUGUGGAAGCAAUUAAUCGUAAGGUUUGAGGGAGACUGAAAGAAUCCGCCGAAGAGGAUUCGGGUCACGUGGGUCCCGGAGCAUUGGCAAGGAUGACCCAGCCGCACGCUGCCUGCACUGUACACAGAUGACCACGCGAUGGCGCCAGCGAGUCACUUCGCUCCUAAAUCUUAUUUCUCUUCUUUUACUAUCUAUCUAGGUAGAGAGUCUUGAUUGGAGUUUGUUUUCUCUGCCAGUUAAAGAAUUAAAGGCAGGAAUUUUGUGAAACAGGUAACAAAGGGGUAAAUCUCAGACACAGCAGACAGAAUCAACCCGUGAAUAAAGGUUAUUAGGGUGAGGAAAAGCACACAGCACAGCCCACAGAAAGAUUGGGGGUCAUCUCAGGAAGUUGGCUUUUUCUGGAGGUGGGGGGGGAGGGGACUUGAGGAUCUUUUAAGGAAUAUUCUCCUAAUCUAGAAUUUGUCAGUUUGAAUAAAGACAGAGAAAAACAGAUAGGCCCACAUUUCUGAGUAAACAGAACUAGUCUGGCCCUGGACUUGGACUGUGCUGCCUGCCCCUGCUGGCAAGAAAAAAAGUCCACCCAGUCUUUGUCUCAGGCCAGGAGCAGUAAGAAAUAAAAACAAGUGGUCUGCCAAAUUGUCUGUUACCUCUCCCUGUGUCUGCCUAUCAACGAUCUAAAUCCUGCCCUUCAUUUCCUCCCUUCCUAUUUUGUAACUUGAUUGGGAGGUGUCACGCUGUCCAAAAGGCUGGACACACCUGCAUGCGAUGGGGAAACAGGUGGAGCAAUGGGCGAGUGAGGUAACUGCCUCUCUACUGAGAAACUCAGGGAAGUUGUGAGGCCACUGGCCAUUUAUCAGCAUGCUUUUAUUCCCAAUGAUAACCACAGAAGCUCUAAGUCCUGACCUCAAGAUGCAAGGUUUUUUUGUUUUGUUUUGUUUUGUUUUGUUUUGUUUUGUUUUUUUGAGACAGGGUUUCUCUGCAUAGCCCUGGCUGUCCUGAACUCACUCUGUCCACCAGGCUGGCCUUGAACUCAGAAAUCCGCCUGCCUCUGCCUCCCAGGGUGCUGGGAUUACAGGCGUGCGCCACCACUGCCCGGCAAUGCAAGUCUUUAUGGAGGACAGAUGGAUAGGAGCCACAGACAGACUAAAAAAAUAAACAAAAGCCAGGGACACUUCUAGCUUGUGUUUUAUCCUUCUGGCCAGAGGCAAAGGCCUGGCAACCUGAAACCAAAGGCCAGAGAGCUUAUUCUCCCCACUGGCCGCUCCCGCUUCCUGUGCUGUUCUGUAAGCUUGAGGCCUGACCUUGGCUAUUUAUCCAAAGCCGCUCUGGGCUUAUCAGCCCAGGGUGGCCCCAAUCUCAUCCUCAGUAGCUGAAGAUAACCUGAACUUCUGAUCCUCCUACCUGUACCUCCAGGAUCUGGUUUUAUUUCUUUGUCUAAACUGAGCAACCCUAAACAGGGAAGGGGGACCCCCGCCAAAUUCUAGCCCCCCAAAAACUCUGUGUGAGCCUUUGCUGCCUUGCUGGUGUGUGGUAUGCAUGUACACAAACAUGUGUGCAUGGUGUGUGUGUGUGUGUGUGUGUGAGAGAGAGAGAGAGAGAGAGAGAGAGAGAGAGAGUCUCCUUGCCUUUAAUAAAAGUUUUAAUAAAAUCCCCUUAAUAAAAGUGGAUUUCAUUCAUUGCUUCUGCUGCUGUGUCUGGGAUCCUCCUAACUGCUGAACUGGAGAUCUCUUGUGUCUUUUAAUUCUUAAUUGACAAAAAAACAACUUAACCCAGACUCUUGGACAAUAACUAGUUCACAGAAGUGCAAUCAGAAACAAAGGUGUUCCCUUGCACUUUAGAGGAAAGAUAAUAGUUUACUUUAUAAGCUAUGUACAACCCUUGAUCUGACUAGCUGUUAGAUUAGAUCAUUCAGAAAUAUCGAGCUUGCUUUCUGGUACCAAAUGGCAUCAGAUGUGAAUGGUUUUGAUUGGUUCGUUGGUUAGUUUGGUUGUUUGUAAGUUCUUGUUUUGUUUUUGCUAUUAUCAGUUUUUUUUUACUUAUUUUAUUUUGUUGUUAUUAAAACAAAUGGCUUGGAGCUGAAGAGAUGGCUCAGCAGUUAAGAGCACUGGGUGCUCUUUUAAAGGACCUGGGUUCAAUUCCCAGCACCCUCAUGGCAGCUCACAAUCUGAUCCCCUCACACAGACAGGCACAUAGACAGACAGACAGACAUGCAGGCAAAACACCAAUGUAUAUAAAAAUAAGAAUGUAUUUGAAAAUAAAAAUAAAUGGCUCAUUGGGUAAAAGCACUCGCCUGAUAAGCAUGAAGGCUUGAGUUUGAAUCCCCGGAGCCCGUGGAAAGGCAGGCGUAGUGGUGAGCGUGAUGGUGUGCACACGACCACACUUACACCCAUGCACACAUCCACCUUACAGACUCACUAAAGAAAGAGUGUCUGUCUGUCUGUUAGUCCAGGGAGUGACAGUAGGUCAAAUGCUUGCUGUACUGAGUUCACACUUCCACCUAAGGGACUGGCAUGGUCUGUAACCCAUGUCUGUAACCAUAGGGGUUACAGGGGUACAGGACAGGGGUUAUCCUGGAGGGGGCGCUGCUGGCCAGCUCUAGCUCGAGUGGGAGCCGAUGUCUGGAAAGAUCAGGUAGAGAGUGAGUGAUUGGAAAUGACCCUGGAAAGCAGCAACCUCUGGCCUUCUACACUUGCAAAUGAACACACCUGUGCAUGCACACGCAUGUACACGCUUACACUAAAUGUAUAAACGGUCCCUAAAAGUAUUAUUUGAGCAAAGGGGGUCUUGUAAGACUCCAGAGGCUUUAUAGUCAUUGUGCUAUUUUUUUGUUGUUGUUUUUGUUUUUUUGUUUUUUCGAGACAGGGUUUCUCUGUGUAGCCCUGACUGUCCUGGAACUCACUCUGUAGACCAGGCUGGCCUCGAACUCAGAAAUCCACCUGCCUCUGCCUCCCAAGUGCUAGGAUUACAGGCGUGCGCAACCACGCCCGGCGUCAUUGUGCUAUUUAAUUGCCUCAGACUUUCUAAAAAUGGACUUUGAGUGUUUGGGAUGCAAAGCCACAUAUCAGGAUGAACACUGGUGUACCACAGCAAGAAAGCAAGACAGGACCGCAGAGAAGCAAACUUCCGACUGUACUUUGGAAAUGAUCUUUUGUUAAGUGAAGCUCCUAGGGAAAGCCACGCCCAUACUAGCUGUCUUCAAAGCUAGCUGACUGUGAAGAACUUUAGGUGGGAGCCAAAAUCGUCUUGGGCUCUUGGCCUGUUAGUCAUUCAUUGCCUGUGAGCUAACAUGUGGUGGUUUGAAUAUGCCUGGUCCUGGGAGUGGGGUGUGUGUGUGUGUGUGUGUGUGUGUGGAGUGGGGGUGUGGCCUUGUUUGAGUGGGUGUGGCCUUGGAGGGAUGGCUGUGGCCUUGGAGUGGGUGUGGCCUUGGUGGGAUGGGUGUGGCCUUGGUGGGAUGGGUGUGGCCUUGGUGGGAUGGGCAGGCCAUCCCAUUCCCUUAUCCCACCUGCCUGGAAGUCAGUCUUCUAGCAUCCUUCAGAUGAAGAUGUGGAACUCUCAGCUCCUCUUGCACCAUGCCUGCCUGGAUGCUGCCAUGCUUCUACCUUGAUGAUAAUGGACCAAACCUCUGAACUUGUAAGCAUAAACCAGCCCCAAUUAAAUGUUGUCCUUAUAAGAGUUGCCUUGGUGUCUAUUCACAGCAGUAAAACCCUAACUAAGAUAUAACACCUCUGUGACUAAUACAUAAAUCAUUUAGAAAGGUGUGGUGGCUAUUCCUGGUUGUCAACUUGACUAUAUCUGAAAUGAACUACAAUCCAGAAUUGGAGGGGCGCACCUGUAAUCUAGAUCUUGAGGCUGGAAGAUGACCUGGAUAUUGGCAUGGCGAUCCUGAGGUAUAGUGGCCAUGAAAAGCUUAGGUGUAGGCAAAGUAGCACAUGUCUUUAAUCCCAGGAGACUGAGGUGAGGAGAUCUCCAAGUUGAAGGUCAGCCUGGGACAAAGCAAGUCCCAGCUCCAGGCGUGGUGGGCCACACCUGCUGCUGGAGGCCUACCUGGGGACAUUGGAAGAAGGAAGGCUCACUCUUCUUCACCUGCUUGCACUUACUUGCCAGCACAUCUGCUGGAAUCUACUUCUAAAGAAGACCCUUAAACACCCAGCCUCGUAGGACUGAGCAACUACUAGAUCCUUGGACUUCCAUUCACAGCUGACCACUGUUGGGUUAGAUUGAAGACUACGUCAUCAUAAUAAGUUCCCUUACUACAAAGAGACAUUCCAUAAGUUCUGUGACUCCCUGACUAAUACAGAGUGUUCAGAGCUUCCACCAACUCAAAGGCUAGGCCUGUGAUCACACGGCAUCUGAGACCUACAGCAGAGGUCUCUUCCCUAUAAUCUGCCUGCUUCUUCACCCAACUGUCUCCGCAUUGAAUCCUGGAAUUUGGAGCAUCCUAAAAUUGUGUUUCCAGGCCCUGCUGACUCAGGUUGGUUCUACAAUAAACUACCUCUCAUCCCUUUUAAGACAAGAGCUGUGGUUUUGUAAGGCUAUUUUUGCUUAUCUAUGUGUAUCUGUGUAUACACACGUGUGCUCAUCAGAGCCAAAGGUGGUCAUUGUUAAGAGCUGCCGGCUCGGGUGCUGGGAACUGAAUUCAGGUCCUCAGGAAGAACAGCAGGAAUGGGAACGGCCCUCAGAGACUCAUAUGUUCAGUUUACAGUUGAUGGGUUAUUUAGGAAGGAUUAGGAGGUAUGGUCUUGUUGGAGCAGAUGUGUCACCAGGAUGGGCUCUGAGGUUUCAGAAGCCCACACCAGGCCCAUGUCUGUCUUUCCGUCUUCCCUCUCCCCCGCUCUUCCUCUAUUUGUCAAUAAGAUAUAAGUUCUCAUCUACUCACUGCUACAAUGCCAUGCCUGCCUGCCAUGAAAGUCAUGGCCUCACCCUCUGAGACUAUAACACAGCCCCUGGCUAAUGCUUCCUUUUGUAAGUUGCUUGGUCACGGUAUUUCUUCACAGCAAUAGAAAAAUAACGAAAGUAAGCACUAUAUGUUCUUUAACUGCUGAAACAUCUCUAAUUUUUUAAAAGAUUUAUUUGUAUUAUUUUUACACAUAUAUAUCUCUUGUUCCCUUUGAGGUAAGAGCUGUGGUGGGUUUUGAUGCUGUUUGGGGAUUCUUAAAGAUUUGUUUAUGUAUGUAUGUAUGUAUGUAUGUAUGUAUUUAUUUAUGGUUUUUUGGAUUUGGUUGUUUCCACACAGGGUUUCUCUGUAUAGUCCUGGCUGUCCUGGAACUCACUCUGUAGACCAGGCUGGCCUCCAACUCAGAAAUCCACCUGCCUCUGCCUCCCAGAGUGCUGGGAUUACAGGCGUGCGCCACCACCGCCCGGCAAGAUUUAUUUAUUUUUUAAUUGUUCUUGUUCAUAUGUCGCUGUAUGCCUUGUACAAGUAGGUGCCUGUGAUGGGUCAGAAGAAGGUAUCCGGACCCCCUGGAGCUGGAGUUACAAGCAGUUACAAACACUGAACCCAGGUCUUCUGGAAGAGCAGGAAGUGCUCUUAACCCCGACUAUCUCUCCAGCUCCCUGACUUGUUUUUGACAGUUUCUGCUUGCAACAGAGUGUAUCUUCUCCAGUGACCACUGUCCAUUAUCCCUGUCCCUCUCGUGUCUGUUGGUCCUUGGCUUUAAAGGAUCCAAAACCCCCUUGGUAUCUGCUACAUGUUCUUAUCCAGUGAGACUCAGGCUGUGCCACACUCACUCUGCGGAUGGGGACUCCGGCCCGGCAGACCCUAGGGUUCCAGGAAUGUGAGGCACCAAGACCUUCGGGCGUCCGUAGGAGUGACAAUAAAAUAGGAUGUGAAACCAGACAGGAGCGGACGACUGAGGACCUGAAACGGAGAAGAAUCCUUUAGACACUGGAGAGAUCCGGCCAAGUCAUGUUUG